This 459-nucleotide ribosomal RNA is filed under the name uncultured bacterium. Its description in RNAcentral is "partial 16S ribosomal RNA". It matches the Rfam family "Bacterial small subunit ribosomal RNA", at positions 338 to 795 of the family's 1533-position model. The record is from RNAcentral.
CCUACGGGUGGCUGCAGUGAGGAAUAUUGGUCAAUGGCCGGAAGGCUGAACCAGCCAUGCCGCGUGAAGGUCAGUGCCCUAUUGGCGUUAAACUUCUUUUGUUCGGGAGCAAUAAUGGUCACGGUUGGCCCGACGAGAGUACCGUACGAAUAAGCAUCGGCUCACUCCGUGCCAGCAGCCGCGGUAAUACGGGGGGGGCAAGCGUUAUCCGGAUUUACUGGGUGUAAAGGGGGCGCAGACGGCAGUGCACGUCUGGAGGGAAAGCCCGGGGCCCAACCCCGGAACUGCUCUGGAAACUGUGGGGCUAGAGUGCGGGAGGGGCAGGCGGAAUGCCUAGUGUAGCGGUGAAAUGCAUAGAUAUUAGGAAGAACACCGAUGGCGAAGGCGGCCUGCUGGACAGUAACUGACGUUGAGGCUCGAAAGCGUGGGGAGCAAACAGGAUUAGAUACCCCGGUAGUC